GAUGAACGCUGGCGGCGUGCCUAAUACAUGCAAGUCGAGCGAACAGAUGAGGAGCUUGCUCCUCUGACGUUAGCGGCGGACGGGUGAGUAACACGUGGAUAACCUACCCAUAAGACUGGGAUAACUUCGGGAAACCGGAGCUAAUACCGGAUAAUAUAUUGAACCGCAUGGUUCAAUAGUGAAAGACGGUUUUGCUGUCACUUAUAGAUGGAUCCGCGCCGCAUUAGCUAGUUGGUAAGGUAACGGCUUACCAAGGCAACGAUUCGUAGCCGACCUGAGAGGGUGAGAGGGCAAAAUGGGAAGGAGAAAAGGGCACAAAUCCUAAGGGGGGCCGCAGUAGGGAAAUUUCAGCAAAGGGGGGAAGGCCGAAGGAGAAAAGCCGGGGGAGGGAAGAAGGGUUUUGGAUUGGAAAAACCUGGUUUUAGGGAAAAAAAAAAUGUGAAAGAAACGUUGCAGGUUUGAAGGGAACAAAAAAGAAAGCCAAGGCUAAAUAAGGG
RNAcentral lists this ribosomal RNA (497 nucleotides) under uncultured bacterium. RNAcentral's name for it is "partial 16S ribosomal RNA". It matches the Rfam family "Bacterial small subunit ribosomal RNA", at positions 28 to 507 of the family's 1533-position model. The record is from RNAcentral.